AUUGAACGCUGGCGGCAGGCUUAACACAUGCAAGUCGAACGGUAACAGAAAGAAAGCUUGCUUUCUUUGCUGACGAGUGGCGGACGGGUGAGUAAUGCUUGGGAAUCUGCCUUAUGGAGGGGGAUAACUACGGGAAACUGUAGCUAAUACCGCGUAAUAUCUACGGAUUAAAGUAUGGGAUCUUCGGACCAUAUGCCAUAAGAUGAGCCCAAGUGAGAUUAGGUAGUUGGUGAGGUAAAGGCUCACCAAGCUGACGAUCUCUAGCUGGUUUGAGAGGAUGACCAGCCACACUGGAACUGAGACACGGUCCAGACUCCUACGGGAGGCAGCAGUGGGGAAUAUUGCACAAUGGGCGCAAGCCUGAUGCAGCCAUGCCGCGUGAAUGAAGAAGGCUUUCGGGUUGUAAAGUUCUUUCAGCGAUGAGGAAGGUGCUAUAUCUAAUAGGUGUAGCAAUUGACGUUAGUCGCAGAAGAAGCACCGGCUAACUCCGUGCCAGCAGCCGCGGUAAUACGGAGGGUGCGAGCGUUAAUCGGAAUAACUGGGCGUAAAGGGCACGCAGGCGGUUGUCUAAGUCAGAUGUGAAAGCCCCGAGCUUAACUUGGGAAUUGCAUUUGAGACUGGGCGACUAGAGUCCUCUAGGGAGGGGUAGAAUUCCACGUGUAGCGGUGAAAUGCGUAGAGAUGUGGAGGAAUACCGAAGGCGAAGGCGGCCCCUUGGAGAGAGACUGACGCUGAGGUGCGAAAGCGUGGGUAGCAAACAGG
Molecule: ribosomal RNA, 761 nt
Filed under: uncultured bacterium
Lineage: Bacteria
Description: bacterial SSU rRNA
Rfam family: Bacterial small subunit ribosomal RNA
Source: RNAcentral